UGCAAAUGGAAUGCCACUCCAUUUCACAAAAGGACUAGUUUCAUGAAAUCCAAGUUGUAUGCCAAGUGAAAGCACACAAAAAAAAAUCAAAAUUGUUGCUAUAAUGCCUCCAGCUGCAACACAAAAAUAGUUUGUUUUGAUGUUACUCACAAUAUGUGCUUUUAUGGAAAAACUUAUAUAAACCUAAUCUAUCAUGAACUUAUAAUAUUUUCAUGAUUAAGGUAUAGGAGGGUUUAAUGAGUUAACUUAGGUGGGCUAUAAUAUUAAUUAGUAGGGGUAGUAUUCUAUUAUUUGUACAAGUAGGAAGUGUUAGUAAAAAUAAGAGGAAGGUACUUGUAAUUGGGCAUUCCAAAAAUCAAUAACAAAUGCAACAUUCUUUUUCCUCUCUUUUUCUAUAAUUCUCUCUAAAUCUUCUCGCCUUUCUGUUCUUUUCCCAAUUCAAUCUAUUUGUAUCUCUUCCUUUCCUCAUUUCUCUAUUUCAAAAGGCUAUAUAGGUUUGUUAAGUAACGAAUUGGUAUUAGAGCUUUAUUCUAGAGUGGGCUUACUUCCAAAUUAGUUAUGGAAGUUGCAACAAUGGGAGAUCAGUGGUAGUCUUUCAAAUUCCAGGUUUCUCUCUUCUU
Molecule: unclassified non-coding RNA, 620 nt
Filed under: Hevea brasiliensis (rubber tree)
Lineage: Eukaryota; Viridiplantae; Streptophyta; Magnoliopsida; Malpighiales; Euphorbiaceae
Source: RNAcentral